This 516-nucleotide ribosomal RNA is filed under the name uncultured bacterium. RNAcentral describes it as "partial 16S ribosomal RNA". It matches the Rfam family "Bacterial small subunit ribosomal RNA", at positions 28 to 523 of the family's 1533-position model. The record is from RNAcentral.
GACGAACGCUGGCGGCGUGCCUAACACAUGCAAGUCGAACGGAGAAGUUCAGCAAUGGAUUUCUUAGUGGCGAACGGGUGAGUAACGCGUAGACAACCUGCCUCUAAGCUGGGGACAACAACUCGAAAGGGUUGCUAAUACCGAAUGUGAACAGUGCCUCGCAUGAGAUGCUGUUUGAAGGUGGCCUCUGAAUAUGCUACCGCUUAGAGAUGGGUAUGCGUAUGAUUAGCUAGUUGGAGGGGUAAUGGCCCACCAAGGCGACGAUCAGUAGCCGGUCUGAGAGGAUGAACGGCCACACUGGGACUGAGACACGGCCCAGACUCCUACGGGAGGCAGCAGUGGGGAAUAUUGGACAAUGGGGAGAACCCUGAUCCAGCCAUGCCGCGUGUGUGAAGAAGGCCUUAUGGUUGUAAAGCACUUUAAGCGAGGAGGAGGCUCUUUUGGUUAAUACCCAAGAUGAGUGGACGUUACUCGCAGAAUAAGCACCGGCUAACUCUGUGCCAGCAGCCGCCGUAA